Molecule: ribosomal RNA, 676 nt
Filed under: uncultured bacterium
Lineage: Bacteria
Description: bacterial SSU rRNA
Rfam family: Bacterial small subunit ribosomal RNA
Source: RNAcentral
AGAGUUUGAUCCUGGCUCAGGACGAACGCUGGCGGUGUGCUUCACACAUGCAAGUCGAGCGAAUGAAGUAGGUAGCUUGCUACUUAUGGAUUUAGCGGCGGACGGGUGAGUAAUAUAUAGGAAUCUGCCUUAGAGCGGGGAACAACAGACCGAAAGGUUUGCUAAUGCCCCAUAGGUAUGCAGUCUUCGGACUGUAUAUUAAAGGAGUAAUCCACUCUAAGAUGAGCCUGUAUCCGAUUAGCUAGUUGGCGGGGUAAAGGCCCACCAAGGCUACGAUCGGUAGUUGGUCUGAGAGGAUGAUCAGCCACAAUGGGACUGAGACACGGCCCAUACUCCUACGGGAGGCAGCAGUGGGGAAUUUUACACAGUGGGGGAAACCCUGAUGUAGCGACACCGCGUGAACGAAGAAGCCUUUUGGGGUGUAAAGUUCUGUCGGCUGGAACGAAAAAAAUGACGGUACCAGCAAAGGAAGCAUCGGCUAACUACGUGCCAGCAGCCGCGGUAAGACGUAGGAUGCAAGCGUUGUCCGGAUUUAUUGGGCGUAAAGAGUUCGUAGGCGGUUAUUUAAGUCUGAUGUUAAAUACUGUGGCCCAACCACAGAACUGCAUUGGAUACUGGAUGACUUGAGUGCGGUAGAGGCAAGUGGAAUUCCCAGUGUAGCGGUGAAAUGCGUAGA